GGUGGUUCUUGGGUGAUGCACCUCGGAAUCAGGCUCCCUCCUCUCUAGCCCAGGUGUGUCACCUGAGAACCCCA
Non-coding RNA from Myotis davidii, 74 nucleotides. NCBI's taxonomy places the organism in Eukaryota, Metazoa, Chordata, Mammalia, Chiroptera, Vespertilionidae. The record is from Rfam.